GAUCUAUGGCUCAGGACGAACGCUGGCGGCACGCUUAACACAUGCAAGUCGAACGAGAGAAGAGAAGCUUGCUUUUCUGAUCUAGUGGCGGACGGGUGAGUAACACGUGAGCAAUCUGCCUUUCAGAGGGGGAUACCGAUUGGAAACGAUCGUUAAUACCGCAUAACAUAAUUGAACCGCAUGAUUUGAUUAUCAAAGAUUUAUCGCUGAAAGAUGAGCUCGCGU
Molecule: ribosomal RNA, 225 nt
Filed under: uncultured bacterium
Lineage: Bacteria
Description: partial 16S ribosomal RNA
Rfam family: Bacterial small subunit ribosomal RNA
Source: RNAcentral